AGAUCCGUUGUUGAAAGUUUUGACUAUUAGUAAUAAUCUGGUGUGACAAGUUGAUAAAAAAUUGGUUGUAAGUUUAGACCUCUGGCGGCAGGCUGGGCCCACCGCCCAAGCAAGUUGGUUACAAAGAAAAACACAUGUGGUGCAAUUAAACCAAUCCKUAAUGGUCCUU
Molecule: unclassified non-coding RNA, 169 nt
Filed under: uncultured Candida
Lineage: Eukaryota; Fungi; Ascomycota; Saccharomycetes; Saccharomycetales
Description: sequence contains ITS1
Source: RNAcentral